AGAGUUUGAUCCUGGCUCAGAACGAACGCUGGCGGCAGGCCUAACACAUGCAAGUCGAACGCCCCGCAAGGGGAGUGGCAGACGGGUGAGUAACGCGUGGGAAUAUCCCCCUUAGUACGGAAUAGCCCAGGGAAACUUGGAGUAAUACCGUAUACGUCCGUAAGGAGAAAGAUUUAUCGCUGAGGGAUUAGCCCGCGUUGGAUUAGGUAGUUGGUGAGGUAACGGCUCACCAAGCCGACGAUCCAUAGCUGGUUUGAGAGAAUGACCAGCCACACUGGGACUGAGACACGGCCCAGACUCCUACGGGAGGCAGCAGUGGGGAAUCUUGGACAAUGGGCGCAAGCCUGAUCCAGCCAUGCCGCGUGAGUGACGAAGGCCUUAGGGUUGUAAAGCUCUUUUACCAGGGACGAUAAUGACGGUACCUGGAGAAUAAGUCCCGGCUAACUUCC
Molecule: ribosomal RNA, 449 nt
Filed under: uncultured Alphaproteobacteria bacterium
Lineage: Bacteria; Pseudomonadati; Pseudomonadota; Alphaproteobacteria
Description: bacterial SSU rRNA
Rfam family: Bacterial small subunit ribosomal RNA
Source: RNAcentral